CUCCUACGGGAGGCAGCAGUGAGGAAUAUUGGUCAAUGGUUGGGGGACUGAACCAGCCAAGCCGCGUGAGGGAGGAAGGUACAGAGUAUCGUAAACCUCUUUUGUCAGGGAACAAAGGCGGGGACGUGUCCCCGGAUGAGUGUACCUGAAGAAAAAGCAUCGGCUAACUCCGUGCCAGCAGCCGCGGUAAUACGGAGGAUGCGAGCGUUAUCCGGAUUUAUUGGGUUUAAAGGGUGCGCAGGCGGUCUGUUAAGUCAGCGGCCAAAGCCCGGGGCUCAACCCCGGCCCGCCGCUUAAACUGGCCG
This 305-nucleotide ribosomal RNA is filed under the name uncultured bacterium. Its description in RNAcentral is "bacterial SSU rRNA". It matches the Rfam family "Bacterial small subunit ribosomal RNA", at positions 336 to 639 of the family's 1533-position model. The record is from RNAcentral.